ACACAGAUGAUGAUAAAAUGUCGCUGAACGUUGAACUUUUUCUAUUUUUGAAAGAGUUCAAUUUAAAUAGGAUGUUCGCUUUUGCGAGGCAUUUGUCUGAUGUAUAC
This is a small nucleolar RNA of Eupeodes corollae, 107 nucleotides long. RefSeq annotates it as small nucleolar RNA Me28S-Am2589. The transcript has a single exon. Lineage: Eukaryota; Metazoa; Arthropoda; Insecta; Diptera; Syrphidae. The record is from RefSeq and is a predicted model, not a curated record.